Molecule: non-coding RNA, 7221 nt
Organism: Rattus norvegicus (Norway rat)
Lineage: Eukaryota; Metazoa; Chordata; Mammalia; Rodentia; Muridae
Source: RefSeq, a predicted model, not a curated record
AAUUAAUCCGAGAGGAACAAGGUGUUACAUUGAAUGCUCACAGGUACACGGUCGGUUCAGAUAGGUAAGGCAGGCGGUUCAGAGGCCAGGAAGACCAGAACUGGAGGAGGGCAUUAACAAAUCCGGAAAAUAUGAAACCAGUGUGAGAAAGCGAGCUUGCCCUUCCCCUUUGCUUGUAUGUUACACCCUCUUCCGACCUCAGCUCGCGGUCAGGAUGUGGACCACCACACGGUGGCGCUGCCGUCUAAUCCUUAGUCUCCUUGGUCGGCCCUGUUUGUCUAUGAUGGCCGCCGCGUGUGUGUUUGUUGACCGUCUCGUGUUCUUGUUAGCUUUCAGACUAAACGAAAUUUGGAAGUCACCACGAAAGGGAGAAUUCUCCGGAAUGGAGACUCAAGAUUCUGGCCCUCGUCGCAGUGACAUUUUCUCUGUGAAAUAACGAACCCUCAUUCCUAUGUGUACUCUUCGCUACCCCGGGACAUUUCAAUGGUAGAGGUCAGUACCCUGAGCUACAAUCAACGGACAAAGUCACCUACUGCCACGGCUGAGGUCAGAUCCCAGGCCACGGGAAAUCCUUCAGGUCAUUAUUACCCUGUCUUAUUGUUAGUGGUGUUUUCUGAAGUUCUUCCUCAGCUGGCCCUGGCCGAGCUUGGCUUUCUCUUCUGUCACAGUCUUUGCAGCUGAUCCCGAGAGUAGUCUUUAAUAAACACACUGGAAACAAGUCUGAAGGUUUUCCUGAAACACCGCCAUUAUUUGAGAGAAUGAAGUCAACACACCAAGGGAAACGGAAACCAGAGAGGGAGGCUGGGUGCAGUCAACCCGAGGGCCGGCUCUAAUGCAGGCAUCCUGUGGUUUGACUGUGAGAACCAGAUGUUUCAUAUUUGAAAAUAUUCGGUCUCAAGGCUGGUUUGAGCUGGUUCUCCAAGCAGAAAGCCGUGGCUGAUAUAACGGGCGUCUGAACAAACUGUAUGGGCUAUUCUUAAAUAUUAGUUUAAAAGAUCAUUCCUCGGUUUAGACGGCAGCUACUUGAACACGCUCUAUCUGGUUUCCUUUAUUUUCUUUCUUUAAGAUGUUUUUAUUAUUAACUAAUUUACUAACUUGUGUUGAAGGGUCUCACGCGUGUACCCCAGGCUGGCCAGAGUCUUCAGAUCCUCCUGUGUGCUGGGAUUUCAGGCUCAUGUGACCACGCCUGUUUUCUGCAGUGUAGAGAAUUGAACUGAGGACUUUGCACAAGCGUGGUGAGCCACCUCAGGCACUUCCUGAGCCUUGCUUGGUUUCCUCAGUGAGGAAUCAACACUAGCAAGGACCUGCUCAUUGUAUUACUGGAAAGGUUAGACAAAGAAAUACAUACAGGUUGCCUGGAACCGUGCCAGACACAUCAGGAACCCCUAAAAAUUAUUGGCUCCAGGAUCAGAUCAUUUUUUACCCGGUAACUUUCAGGAAAUGCCUUUGCUGCUUUGUGGAUUGGUAAAAUCAUGGCAAAUUUGGUCACGAUUGGCUCCCGCCACUCAUCUGGAGUUCCAGAAGGCAAAUGCCUAAAGGAGCAAGCUCAGUAGCAAGACAGUGGGGACCGGGGCACAUGGGAAGCCUAGGUCUCCUCAGCUGUGCUUGAGGAUGGCUGCCAGAACCAUACGCAAACAAGGUUUUGUCGUCACCAAGUCUGAUUCAAAAUAGUUUAUCUCUGCAACAUUGGCUAAACAAAGGAGAGCAAAUAAAAUACACCUGCCAACCCCAGCCUGAGGUUUCCGUUGAGUAACGUUUAUGGAGUAGCAUAUUAUAGAGUGAAAUUUUUAUAAGCUAUUUUUAAAUAAUAAAGGAAUAUAGAUUGUGUAAAUAAUGUUGAUAAUGUUGGUGAGGGUACAGUGAGAACAGCGGCCUCUACUCCGCCUCUCUUAGGCUCUACCCCAACAGUCAUGAGCCCAUAAAUAACACUAUUACUCCAGUCUUGGUUUUGUUGUUGUUGUUGUUGUUGUUGUUGUCAUUGUUGUGGCUGUGUUGUGUUGGUUUUUGGCUUUGGUUUUGUGCUGAGGCAAGGUCUCUUUAUGUAGUCCCUGAAGCAGUGCCCUUGAACACACAGAGAUCCAUCUGCCUCUGCCCUCCAAGUGCUGGGGUUAAAGGCCCAUGUCACCACAUGCGGAAGGACUAAUGUAUCUAGUUCUUAUCAUGAAACAUGAAGAUUUAAUUUCUGAGUUGGAAAGAUUAAUGGUUUACUGGUAGAGCAAUCCCCUGGCACGUCCUGAGUUUGAUCCCCAAUUAGUAAUGACCAAAAAAGAAUUUGUAAUAAGGAUUUAAUCAUAAAUCCUUUACAGUUCAUUUUUUUUGGCUUAAAACAUAAAAUUGUAUGUUUCCCCUAGUUAAUUCCGCAUUUCUGCAUUUAAUUAUAUAUACAUUUAAUUAUAUAUAAAUACAUAUAUAUAUAUAUAUACAAAAGAUUUAUUUAUUUUAUGUAUGUGAGUACACAGUCUCUCUCCUCAGACACACCAGAAGAGGGCAUGGGAUCCCAUUACAGAUGGUUGUGGGCUACUAUGUGGUUGCUGGGAAUUGAACUCAGGACCUCUGGAAGAGCAGUCAGUGCUCUUAACCACUGAGCCAUCUCUCUGCCCCCCAAUCUCAUAUUUUUUUAACCUUGCAAAUAAAUAAAAAACAUCACGCACCAAAAUUAACCAGGUCUGAAGUCUAUACAACGCAGGGAACUUCUAUACAGCCCCGCCCCUCAGGUGGAGGCGCUCCUCCUGUCCCGCCCCUCAGAGGGAAGCGAUCCUCCUGGCCCCAUUCGAUAGUAUUACUCACUUGGGCCACCGUAUCCAGCCUAACUGCUUUAUGUAACGCUGUGAAAGUUGAAUUGGCAGGAUUCAAUCAAAACCACAUUACUUGAUGGAGAGAUCUAGUACAAAGAUUUUUUUUCCCCAACAGUUCUGCCUGUGGUGGAACUGGCCUGGAACUCACAGAAAUCCUGCCUCUGCCUUCUGAGGGUUAGGAUAAAUGGUGUGUGCCACCACAACUGGUUACCUUCUUUCCUUCCUUCCUUCCUUCCUUCCUUCCUUCCUUCCUUCCUCCCUUCCAUUUUAAAGAUGUUUUAACUAUGUCUUUAGUAGAAUACGAAAGAGAUCUUUGUAGUACAUGUCAUCUCUAAGUGAAGGGGUUAAAAAGAACCGUAAACCAGGGUUUCCAGUCCUGUUAUUGGUGCCACAUUGGGUGGAAUCCCUUGUAGGGGCCUGUCCUGUGUAUAGUAGGGUGUUUAUUUCAAAGCAUCCCCUGCCGAAACCCAGCAGAUGAGGGCCAUGCUCCCUCACCUGCCCUGCGAUGUAACAAACACCUCUCUAACUCUUGGCAACGUCCUUCCUUAAAGUUAUCUCAAAGGCAGCGAAGGUGGGGAGCAGCUGCCACCACAGUGUUAGCAGAGGAGAAAGAGAAGGGGAACUGCUUAAAUUAGAAAUCUGCUGAUGCUCGUUCCCUGCACUGGGCACGGUGAAGCCAGUUCUGCCGGUGCUGCCAAAACUGCAAACCGGGCUCCAUUGCUACAGGAAAGCAAGCUGCGGUUUGUGGGACAAGUCUGCACUCUGGAACAGCAGCCACCUGAUUUCUUCGGCCUCCCUCGAGCGCCCCCUACAGGCAGAGUCUGGAAGGGAGCCAGUCCGCAAGGAAAGCCCCUUGAUGGAGGGAAAAGGCUAGAAUUGGUUCUAGCAAAGCUGGAAAUGUAUCCAGGAAUAACGGAAGAUCAUGGCGAGUUUGAAUUUACGUCUGUGGACAAAAACUUUUAAGAAAAUAAGCGUUUUUAUAUACUUAAAGGCAACAAAUUGCAUAUGUUUUCCUAGUGGCUAAUCCUAUGUUCUGUGAAUUGAUUCUUACUGCUUUUGUGCUUUGCAUAACCUUACUUCCGAUCUUAAGAAUAGUUGUCUUAAUUCAUCUGUGCCAACUCCCCGAGAUUUCCAGAGCAUGCUGCAUUUGACUUUUUACUUUUGCUCUUUAAAUGUUUCUUUCUCCCACAAGACUGUUAAUGCCUCGAUAAGAAUUGUGUUUUAUUGAUUUUUGUCUAACUCACUAAGUAUUCCUUAAAAGCCUAAUAACGGAUGAACUAUCUGGAAGAAAAAGAAUAGAAAAUAUAAAUGUGCUUGUAAACAGGCACGUCCCAGGGCUCUCAGAUGGCAAGGGAAUUAAAACAGAUUUUAAACGGCCAGGCAUGGUGGUGCACACCUUUAAUCCUGGCACUUGGGAGGCAGAAGCGGGUGGGUCUCUAUGAGUUUGAGGCCAGCCUGGUCUACAGAGUGAGCUCCAAGUCAUCAAAGGCAAAAUGGUGACACACACACACACUUAAAACUAAUAAAAGCGGGGCUGGGGAUUUAGCUCAGUGGUAGAGCGCUUACCUAGGAAGCGCAAGGCCCUGGGUUCGGUCCCCAGCUCCGAAAAAAAAGAACCAAAAAAAAAAAAAAAAACUAAUAAAAGCAAAUAUUUAAAGAACAGACAAGUAUAGCUUUAAGGUUGACAGGAUGACUUGGUGGGACACAGGUUGUGGAGAACAUUCUAGAUCCAAGCAAAAGCAGCCUGGGUGAUUUUGUCCUUGCUUAUUUCUCUGGUUUCUGUUACCUUACAGCCUUUCCAGUCGAGUUUUCUUAAUGCUUUUUGAACACGGAAAUCAUAUUUCUACCUUAGGGCCUUUGUUCACGCAAUUCUUCCACAGGGAUAUGUGUGCCUCAUCUCUUUUCACUGUUUGCAUGAAUACCUUCCUUCCUCCCUUCCUCCCUCCCUUCCUCCCUCUCUCCCUCCUCUCUUUCUUCAUAUGUUAUUGGGGUUAAACCUAGAACUUUAAUAUCUAGGAAAGCACUCUACCACUGAGCUACAUUGCCACCCCUAUAAAUAUUUGCUUUUUGUCAAGGGCUCAGUAAUUCACCCAGUCUGGCUUUAAACUCACUAGGUGCCUCUGGCAGGCCUUGAACUCGCCAAGUAGUCUGCAGCAGCUUCCCUUGUAGCCGAAAUUACAGCUAUACAGGUUCGUUGAAAUACACUAGAGGGUGUUUAUUUACUAGACUGUGUCUGUGCUGGUCACUGGAUUCAGAACCUAUAUCCUAGAUACUAGAACUCGUAUAGUCUAGUACAUAGUGGAAGACUGUUAUUAUCGGUGUGGGGGGUGCUAAGGGUGGAACCCCACUGUAUACUUGACUCUGAUAUGGAUACUGGAUUCAGCGACCAAAACAGAGACGUGCUGUAGUGCAUAAAUUAUUUGUGGUGUCCUACGGAUUCAUAUAUGACCGUGAGGACACAGCAGAGAUCAGAGGCGUGUUCUCCGAGCUGAGGAGACCUAGCCAGCAUCACUGAAUGAAGACUAGGUACGAGCUCAUUUAACCAUUAUCCGUCUGUGUAGUUGUUUUUGCAGAGACUCUAAAUUUCAAGAUUGUUUGAGCCAAGCUGGAGGUUGAUUGUCGCUGUUUGCUACUGCUGCUGACAAUGAAACGUCUCGGCUCUGAGAAACCACGCGAUUCUUCCCCUGCAUAUUUCGAGCACCUUCCCUUCCAGAACUUUCCCAAGGAAAACGUCCUAUCUGUACCUCAACAUAGCCCGGAAUGUAAAUCACAGCCACCAGUUUCUGCCACUCAAACACCAACACAAUAUGACCUCACACAGAGCUGUGAGAUCGGGUUGCCAUGGUAAUCUCUAUUCCCAUCAUCGUGAACUAAUUGUUCUGUUUGAAAACUGCUGCUCCUGAGGUUCAGCGAGCUUCAACCCUGCCAGACCUCAGCCGGCAGGAAGCUAAAUGAUGUGUUAUUAUUCAGCAUAAUUAUUUGCCAACAAUCUAUAUUUAGAAGUGGGAGAGUAUAUAGAAGAGAGAUUUUUUUUAAGGGGGUCUUUUCAAUCUAUCCAGGGCUACUGUAAGUACGAGCACCUUUUCUUUCUGUCGUUGGGACAUCCCUUUAUUCUGACGGCCCCUAAGUUGUACCGCCCCCAUCCCACACCUCUGCCUUUCCAGCAUAUUAGCAUCCCAAGGAUCCUGGUGUGGUGGGAAUGCGGCUGGCAGCAUGUCAUGUGACCUGGAGCAUCGGAGUGAAUCCAGGAGCAAGCGAAAGAUACCAGGAGCAAAGCACAGAAGCCAAUCCAGGUGACAACCAUCACGAACCAGACUCCGGGAUGGACUGAAUAACUAACACACUCAGAUGCUGCUGAUCCCAAGUCAGACAGGCAGGGGCAGCCCAGAAGUCACUGGCAACGAUCAGUCUGCACCUGGGUGGUUCCUAACCAUGAGAAAAACAGCUUUGCUGUUUAAGGAGAUGAUCUUGGAUCUUCCAUUGACCAACUGGGUAAUUCCCCACAGGGUGUAUUCAAUUCCUCUGAAGUAGGUCCCCAUUUGCAGGAAUAAAUAAGCCCCACUCCCUACCUCCCACCCCUCACCCAGUGCUAAGUAAGACAGGAGUGGUUCACCUUUCCUGCACCUCUUGGGAUCAAGCCCUGACAAAUGCAUUCCUCUGAAUUCUUGCUGCGGUCACAAAUCCAGGGGCCCUCCGCGCUCCCCAGCCUCUCCCUCGUUCUGUUUUUCGUCGUUGGACUAGCACACCAUCUGUCGUAGUCAGACAUUCCACGCACCUUAUGGGUUGCUAUUAGGCUCUCAGUGUUGAGCGAAGUGGGCGUGUCCAUCACUCCCAUGAAAUUUGCAAGUCAAAUUAGAGAAACAAAUAGCCAAUAAAAACACUGUUAAUGAAUACUGUUAAUGAAUAAGCUGGAGAAGACGCUAUGGAAAAGAAACACCAGCCCUACUGCAAUCAACACCCGAAGCAUAGUGCUAAAAAUGAGAAGUUAAGUAGAUAAAGGGAAUGUGAAGAAGAGGGAUGUAGGGAACUGAGAGAAAGCCUGAGGAACCCGUUAGUGUACAGACUAUUUGGGGGGGAUUUGGACUCUGAAUUAGAAGAAUGAGAAAUCACUGAAGGGCUGUUGUGAUGAUCGUUUGUAUAUGCUUGGCUCAGGAAGUGGCCCUGUUAGGAGGUGUGGCCUUGUUGGAGUAGGUGUGGCUUUGUUGGAGUAGGUGGGGCCUUGUUGGAGUAGGCGUGUCACUGUGGGUGUGGGCUUAAGACCCUCACCCUAGUUGCCCGGAGUCAAUCUUCCACUAGCAGCCUUCAGAUGAAGAUGUAGAACUCUCAGCUCUUUCUGUCUAGUGUUGCCAUGUUCCUACCUUGAUGGUAAUAGACUGAACCCCUGAACCAGUAAGCCAGCCCCAAUUAAAUGUUGUCCUUUAUAAGA